AGCAAUCUUAGCCCUUGCCAACUCCUCAGCCUUAAAAGCAUCUAGAUGCAUAUCCACAUUAUCCAUAUCUACAUCUAAAUCAGAAAUAACAGCUUGCAGAAUAGUAUUGGGACAAUUAUUCAAAAUGGUGAAAGGAUUAUUAUUAGUACCUGUUCCUGGGUUCUUAGCCAUAACUCUCUGAGCAGCUUUCAUAGCAAUUGGAACCCCAUCCCUUGGAAUUCUAGAACUUGUUCUUGUAGCCACCACCACCCUUUUUGGUUUCCUGGCCUUUUUGGUUUUAGAAGCUUGCCAACCCUGAUCACCAACUUCACCCUCACUGUCUUUAUCCAUGAUUGAUUCAUUGUCCAUUAAAUCUUCUGGACACACAUCCUUUCAUUGCCCUAUGUCUUGUAUAGUACACACACCAGACACAUUCUCCUUUGAAGAUAUCAGAGAGUCCUCUUGAGUAAGUCCUUCCCCC
This 460-nucleotide long non-coding RNA is filed under the name Sorghum bicolor (sorghum). RNAcentral describes it as "long non-coding RNA (SBIC_LNC012068)". Lineage: Eukaryota; Viridiplantae; Streptophyta; Magnoliopsida; Poales; Poaceae. The record is from RNAcentral.